RNAcentral lists this ribosomal RNA (253 nucleotides) under uncultured bacterium. RNAcentral's name for it is "partial 16S ribosomal RNA". It matches the Rfam family "Bacterial small subunit ribosomal RNA", at positions 524 to 776 of the family's 1533-position model. The record is from RNAcentral.
UACGUAGGGGGCAAGCGUUGUCCGGAUUUAUUGGGCGUAAAGAGCGUGUAGGCGGUUUGGUAGGUCCGCUGUGAAAACUCGAGGCUCAACCUCGAGACGCCGGUGGAAACCAUCAGGCUAGAGUCCGGAAGAGGAGAGUGGAAUUCCCGGUGUAGCAGUGAAAUGCGUAGAGAUCGGGAGGAACACCAGUGGCGAAGGCGGCCUUCUGGGCCAAUACUGACGCUCAUGCACGAAAGCGUGGGGAGCAAACAGG